GACGAAGGGGGCUAGCGUUGUUCGGAAUUACUGGGCGUAAAGCGAGUGUAGGCGGUUGGCCAAGUCAGGUGUGAAAGCCUUGACCUCAACUCAAGAAAUGCACUUGGUACUGGGUGGCUAGAGGACCGGAGAGGAUAGUGGAAUUCCCAGUGUAGUGGUGAAAUACGUAGAGAUUGGGAAGAACACCAGUGGCGAAGGCGGCUAUCUGGACGGUUACUGACGCUAAGACUCGAAAGCGUGGGGAGCAAACAGG
This 253-nucleotide ribosomal RNA is filed under the name uncultured bacterium. RNAcentral describes it as "partial 16S ribosomal RNA". It matches the Rfam family "Bacterial small subunit ribosomal RNA", at positions 524 to 776 of the family's 1533-position model. The record is from RNAcentral.